UCGUUAACCUUAUGGCGCCGCUCGGGCCCGGUCAGCUUUCCAAGGUCGCUUUCCUGUGGCCUUAGCCUUGGGAAUGAGGCUGUUGAGUUAACUUUAGCUCCUUGUGGCCGUCCAGGCGGCACUGUCUGCCACAGGGGUUACGGGACCGCGCUUUCGUAAUUUCCUAGGUUUCUGAGGAGAUGAGAGGGUCGAGACUGUCCCUGUAAGCAGAAUGAAGACCAAAAGACAUUCAGAAAGGAGAACAGACAAAAGAGAAGUGAUAGUGAGCAAGUGCUAGAAAUACAAGACAGAAACAAGAUUUGGGAAAAGUUUGGGACAGAUGGAAUCUAUCAUUCGAUAAAUACAUUUAGAGGAAGCCUGAGAAAUGACGGUACAAUUUGAAAGUGGAAAGCAGGAAUCAAGGAAGAAAGAACAAUAGACUGGCAGGAUACCAGUUCUACUCCUGGUUCUAGCAACCCAGUGUGUGACUUUGGAUGUCAAAUGAUCCAAAAGUCUCUGGAGUCCUCUCUGUGACCUUCGAGGACCCAUCAACCUGAAAACAGAACAGGAUGCAGGUGUUUCAACUGUGGAUGCCAUAGUGAUGCUGUGCUCUUCCUCUCCCCUGCCCUGCCCCCAUGAGGAAGAGUCAAGGCUGGAUGGAGCCAGAGUGUAGGGAAGGAUUUUCUUAUAAUUUGAAAGCCCAUGAAGAUCUCUAGACUACCAGAGGCCUUGGAACUGACUGUCCUCACUCCUGUUCCCUGUAGAGAAUCCCAGGAUCUAACCAGCCC
Molecule: long non-coding RNA, 767 nt
Organism: Mesoplodon densirostris (Blainville's beaked whale)
Lineage: Eukaryota; Metazoa; Chordata; Mammalia; Artiodactyla; Ziphiidae
Exons: 6
Source: RefSeq, a predicted model, not a curated record